Molecule: ribosomal RNA, 253 nt
Filed under: uncultured bacterium
Lineage: Bacteria
Description: partial 16S ribosomal RNA
Rfam family: Bacterial small subunit ribosomal RNA
Source: RNAcentral
UACGAAGGAUUCGAGCGUUAUCCGGAUUUAUUGGGUUUAAAGGGUGCGUAGGCGGACUAAUAAGUCAGUGGUGAAAGCCCGCAGCUUAACUGCGGAACUGCCAUUGAUACUGUUAGUCUUGAGUACAGUUGAGGUGGGCGGAAUGUGUCAUGUAGCGGUGAAAUGCUUAGAUAUGACACAGAACACCGAUUGCGAAGGCAGCUCACUAAGCUGUAACUGACACUGAGGCACGAAAGUGUGGGUAGCAAACAGG